AAUAAACCCGCUGGUGGUGGGUUAUCAGAACUUAUUAAUAUUAGUGUCAAUAAAAGUUGUUAUACAAUCCUCCACUGCUAAAUUUGAUUGGCUUUAA
Molecule: non-coding RNA, 97 nt
Filed under: Carlito syrichta (Philippine tarsier)
Lineage: Eukaryota; Metazoa; Chordata; Mammalia; Primates; Tarsiidae
Source: RNAcentral